This 404-nucleotide ribosomal RNA is filed under the name uncultured bacterium. Its description in RNAcentral is "partial 16S ribosomal RNA". It matches the Rfam family "Bacterial small subunit ribosomal RNA", at positions 29 to 526 of the family's 1533-position model. The record is from RNAcentral.
AUUGAACGCUGGCGGCAGGCCUAACACAUGCAAGUCGAGCGAGCGGCGGACGGGUGAGUAAUGGCUGGGAAUUGCCAAGUCGAGGGGGAUAACAGAUGCAAACGACUGCUAAUACCGCAUACGAUUGGAUCACCCAGGGGGGAUUAGCUAGUUGGUGAGGUAAUGGCUCACCAAGGCGACGAUCCCUAGCUGGUCUGAGAGGAUGAUCAGCCACACUGGAACUGAGACACGGUCCAGACUCCUACGGGAGGCAGCAGUGGGGAAUAUUGCACAAUGGGGGAAAGCCUGAUGCAGCCAGGCCGCGUGUGUGAAGAAGGCCUUAGGGUUGUAAAGCACUUUCAGCGGGGAAGCGGUACUCGCAGAAGAAGCACCGGCUAACUACGUGCCAGCAGCCGCGGUAAUAC